AGUGAACGCUGGCGGUAGGCCUAACACAUGCAAGUCGAACGGCAGCACAGUAAUAGCUUGCUCUUACGGGUGGCGAGUGGCGGACGGGUGAGGAAUACAUCGGAAUCUACUUUUUCGUGGGGGAUAACGUAGGGAAACUUACGCUAAUACCGCAUACGACCUACGGGUGAAAGCAGGGGAUCUUCGGACCUUGCGCGAUUGAAUGAGCCGAUGUCGGAUUAGCUAGUUGGCGGGGUAAAGGCCCACCAAGGCGACGAUCCGUAGCUGGUCUGAGAGGAUGAUCAGCCACACUGGAACUGAGACACGGUCCAGACUCCUACGGGAGGCAGCAGUGGGGAAUAUUGGACCAUGGGCGCAAGCCUGAUCCAGCCAUACCGCGUGGGUGAAGAAGGCCUUCGGGUUGUAAAGCCCUUUUGUUGGGAAAGAAAAGCAGCAGGUUAAUACCCCGCUGUUCUGACGGUACCCAAAGAAUAAGCACCGGCUAACUUCGUG
This 492-nucleotide ribosomal RNA is filed under the name uncultured bacterium. RNAcentral describes it as "partial 16S ribosomal RNA". It matches the Rfam family "Bacterial small subunit ribosomal RNA", at positions 29 to 507 of the family's 1533-position model. The record is from RNAcentral.